RNAcentral lists this transfer RNA (57 nucleotides) under Bos taurus (domestic cattle). It matches the Rfam family "tRNA", at positions 8 to 63 of the family's 71-position model. From Rfam's summary of the family: Transfer RNA (tRNA) molecules are approximately 80 nucleotides in length. Their secondary structure includes four short double-helical elements and three loops (D, anti-codon, and T loops). RNAcentral also lists the same sequence under 5 other names. Lineage: Eukaryota; Metazoa; Chordata; Mammalia; Artiodactyla; Bovidae. The record is from Rfam by way of RNAcentral.
UGGCUCAGUCAGUAAAGAAUCUGCUUGCAAUGCAGGAGACCCAGGUUCAAUUCCUGG